This 845-nucleotide unclassified non-coding RNA is filed under the name Hevea brasiliensis (rubber tree). The record is from RNAcentral. Lineage: Eukaryota; Viridiplantae; Streptophyta; Magnoliopsida; Malpighiales; Euphorbiaceae.
GUUGCACCGGAGGUUAUUGGGAAGAAAGGAUACGACGGAGCUACAGCAGAUCUCUGGUCCUGUGGUGUUAUUCUAUAUGUUCUUCUCGCUGGGUUCUUGCCAUUUCAGGAUGAUAAUUUAGUGGCCAUGUAUAGAAAGAUAUACAGAGGUGACUUCAAAUGUCCACCGUGGUUCUCCCCUGAAGCUCGCAGAUUAAUCACAAAGCUUCUCGAUCCAAAUCCAAGCACUCGAAUCACGAUAACCAAGAUGAUGGAUUCCUCAUGGUUCAAGAAAUCAGUACCUAAAACUGUGAGAAGUAAGGAGGAAAUGGAAUUUGAUGCCUUCAACGGAGAAGAAGAUGGCAACAAUGGAGGCAAAUCAAAGCAACCAGAAACACUUAAUGCUUUUCAUAUAAUAUCUUUAUCAGAGGGGUUUGAUUUAUCACCACUCUUCGAAGAGAAGAAAAGGGAGGAGAAGGAGGAGCUGAGGUUCGCCACAACAAGGCCAGCAAGCAGCGUGAUUUCAAGACUAGAGGAGGUGGCCAAGGCAGUGAAAUUCAGCGUGAAGAAGAGCGAGACGAAAGUUAGGAUGCAGGGUCAAGAGAGUGGAAGAAAAGGAAAAUUGGCCAUCGCAGCAGAUAUGUUCGCAGUGACGCCGUCGCUGUUGGUGGUGGAGGUAAAGAAAGAUAAUGGUGACACAUUAGAGUACAAACAAUUCUGCAGCAAAGAGCUGAGACCGGCUCUCAAGGACAUAGUGUGGACGUCUCCUGUUAAUUCUACAAUCGCUUGAGAUGACAAGUGAGAUAUGGAGGUGGUGGGAAAUCGAAGAUUAUUGUUGUGUGAUUGUUAUUAUUGAUUUCGAAUCUU